GGCAAUGAAUGAAUUAACCAAC
RNAcentral lists this small nuclear RNA (22 nucleotides) under Arabidopsis thaliana (thale cress). RNAcentral's name for it is "snRNA_03319". The record is from RNAcentral. Lineage: Eukaryota; Viridiplantae; Streptophyta; Magnoliopsida; Brassicales; Brassicaceae.